RNAcentral lists this ribosomal RNA (941 nucleotides) under Schizopora radula. Its description in RNAcentral is "LSU rRNA". It matches the Rfam family "Eukaryotic large subunit ribosomal RNA", at positions 37 to 966 of the family's 3401-position model. The record is from RNAcentral. Lineage: Eukaryota; Fungi; Basidiomycota; Agaricomycetes; Hymenochaetales; Schizoporaceae.
AGCAUAUCAUAGCGAGAAAGAACUACCAGAUCCCCUAGUAACUGCGAGUGAAGCGGGAUGAGCUCAAAUUUAAAAUCUGGCGGUUUUGCCGUCCGAGUUGUAAUCUGGAGAAGCGUUUUCCGCGUCGGACCGUGUACAAGUCUCUUGGAACAGAGCUUCAUAGAGGGUGAGAAUCCCGUCCAUGACACGGACCACCGAUGCUUUGUGAUACGCUCUCGAAGAGUCGAGUUGUUUGGGAAUGCAGCUCAAAAUGGGUGGUAAAUUCCAUCUAAAGCUAAAUAUUGGCGAGAGACCGAUAGCGAACAAGUACCGUGAGGGAAAGAUGAAAAGCACUUUGGAAAGAGAGUAAAACAGUACGUGAAAUUGUUGAAAGGGAAACGCUUGAAGUCAGUCGCGUUUGCCGGGACUCAGCCUUGCUUCUGCUUGGUGUACUUCCCGGUAGACGGGUCAACAUCGAUUUUGGCCGACGGAUAAAGGGGUUGGGAAUGUGGCACUCUUCGGGGUGUGUUAUAGCCCUUCUUCCGCAUACGCCGGCCGGGAUCGAGGACCGCAGCGCGCCUUAAUGGCCGGGGGUUCGCCCCACGUUACGCGCUUAGGAUGUUGGCAUAAUGGCUUUAAGCGACCCGUCUUGAAACACGGACCAAGGAGUCUAACAUGCUCGCGAGUGUUAGGGUGGAAAACCCUUGCGCGUAAUGAAAGUGAAAGUUGGGACUCUCGCGAGGGAGGCACCGACGCCCGGGCCCUGAAGUUCUCUGACGGUGCUGCGGUAGAGCGCGUAUGUUUGGGACCCGAAAGAUGGUGAACUUAUGCCUGAAUAGGGCGAAGCCAGAGGAAACUUCUGGGUGGAAGGCUCGUAGCGAUUCUGACGUGCAAAUCGAUCGUCAAAUUUGGGUAUAGGGGCGAAAGACUUAUCGACAUCUAGUAGCUUGCUGCUUCCUGAG